GAUGAACGCUAGCGGCAGGCCUAAUACAUGCAAGUCGAACGGUGUCUUCGGACAUAGUGGCGCACGGGUGCGUAACACGUAUGCAACCUACCUUACAUUGGGGGAUAGCCCUUCGAAAGGGAGAUUAAUACCGCAUAAGACAGUAGCUGGGCAUCCAGCAGCUGUUAAAGAUUUAUCGAUGUAAGCUGGGCAUGCGUCCAAUUAGCUAGUUGGUGAGGUAACGGCUCACCAAGGCAAUGAUUGGUAGGGGAACUGAGAGGUCAAUCCCCCACACUGGCACUGAGAUACGGGCCAGACUCCUACGGGAGGCAGCAGUAGGGAAUAUUGGGCAAUGGACGCAAGUCUGACCCAGCCAUGCCGCGUGCAGGAUGAAGGCGUUAUGCGUUGUAAACUGCUUUUAUACAGGAAGAAACGACUCUUGCGAGAGGCAUUGACGGUACUGUAUGAAUAAGCACCGGCUAACUCCGUGCCAGCCGCCGCCGUAA
This 485-nucleotide ribosomal RNA is filed under the name uncultured bacterium. RNAcentral's name for it is "partial 16S ribosomal RNA". It matches the Rfam family "Bacterial small subunit ribosomal RNA", at positions 28 to 523 of the family's 1533-position model. The record is from RNAcentral.